This 76-nucleotide transfer RNA is filed under the name Desulfofustis glycolicus DSM 9705. Its description in RNAcentral is "tRNA_Gln_TTG". It matches the Rfam family "tRNA". Rfam says of the family: Transfer RNA (tRNA) molecules are approximately 80 nucleotides in length. The record is from RNAcentral. RNAcentral also lists the same sequence under 3 other names. Lineage: Bacteria; Pseudomonadati; Thermodesulfobacteriota; Desulfobulbia; Desulfobulbales; Desulfocapsaceae.
UGGGGCGUAGCCAAGCGGUAAGGCACCGGGUUUUGAUCCCGGCAUUUCGUAGGUUCGAAUCCUGCCGCCCCAGCCA